GAUGAAGAACGUAGCGAAAUGCGAUAAGUAAUGUGAAUUGCAGAAUUCAGUGAAUCAUCGAAUCUUUGAACGCACAUUGCGCCCGCCAGUAUUCUGGCGGGCAUGCCUGUUCGAGCGUCAUUUCAACCCUCAGGUCCCCCUUUUCGGAGGGGGAGACACCCUGGUGUUGGGGGACGGCAUCCUGGCCCGCUGUCUCACAGUGUGCCACGCCGCCCCCGAAAUGAAUUGGCGGCCUCGUCGCGUGCCACCCCUGCGUAGUAGCACAACCUCGCAACGGGAGCCGACGCGGCCACUGCCGUAAAACGCCCAACUUUUACCGAGUUGACCUCGAAUCAGGUAGGAAUACCCGCUGAACUUAAGCAUAUCAAUAAGCGGAGGA
This 379-nucleotide unclassified non-coding RNA is filed under the name soil metagenome. RNAcentral describes it as "partial contains 5.8S ribosomal RNA, internal transcribed spacer 2, and large subunit ribosomal RNA". The stretch from base 1 to 120 matches the Rfam family "5.8S ribosomal RNA", at positions 35 to 154 of the family's 154-position model. The record is from RNAcentral.